RNAcentral lists this ribosomal RNA (887 nucleotides) under Calonectria gracilis. RNAcentral describes it as "eukaryotic LSU rRNA". It matches the Rfam family "Eukaryotic large subunit ribosomal RNA", at positions 58 to 978 of the family's 3401-position model. Lineage: Eukaryota; Fungi; Ascomycota; Sordariomycetes; Hypocreales; Nectriaceae. The record is from RNAcentral.
AAAGAAACCAACAGGGAUUGCCCUAGUAACGGCGAGUGAAGCGGCAACAGCUCAAAUUUGAAAUCUGGCCCUCGGGUCCGAGUUGUAAUUUGUAGAGGAUGCUUUUGGUGAGGUGCCUUCCGAGUUUCCUGGAACGGGACGCCAUAGAGGGUGAGAGCCCCGUCUGGUUGGACACCGAGCCUCUGUAAAGCUCCUUCGACGAGUCGAGUAGUUUGGGAAUGCUGCUCUAAAUGGGAGGUAUAUGUCUUCUAAAGCUAAAUACCGGCCAGAGACCGAUAGCGCACAAGUAGAGUGAUCGAAAGAUGAAAAGCACUUUGAAAAGAGAGUUAAAAAGUACGUGAAAUUGUUGAAAGGGAAGCGCUUAUGACCAGACUUGGGCUUGGUUGAUCAUCCUGGGUUCUCCCUGGUGCACUCUUCCAGUUCAGGCCAGCAUCAGUUCGCUGCGGGGGAUAAAAGUUUUGGGAAUGUGGCUCCCUCGGGAGUGUUAUAGCCCAUUUCAUAAUACCCUGCUCCGGACUGAGGUUCGCGCAUCUGCAAGGAUGCUGGCGUAAUGGUCAUCAGCGACCCGUCUUGAAACACGGACCAAGGAGUCGUCUUCGUAUGCGAGUGUUCGGGUGUUAAACCCCUACGCGUAAUGAAAGUGAACGCAGGUGAGAGCUUCGGCGCAUCAUCGACCGAUCCUGAUGUUCUCGGAUGGAUUUGAGUAAGAGCAUACGGGGCCGGACCCGAAAGAAGGUGAACUAUGCCUGUAUAGGGUGAAGCCAGAGGAAACUCUGGUGGAGGCUCGCAGCGGUUCUGACGUGCAAAUCGAUCGUCAAAUAUGGGCAUGGGGCGAAAGACUAAUCGAACCUUCUAGUAGCUGGUUUCCGCCGAAGUUUCCCUCAGGA